UGAGGGGAGAUAGAAGGCUAUGGAGCGUGGUAAAUGUUACACUCCAUCACGGACCAUGGGGAGGUCAGUGUGAAGAUUUCGACUGUUUCCAUGACAACAGGCGGCCCUGCCAGUUAAAGCUGCCAGCAGCUGGGAGCCCUCCAGCAGACACCCCAAGCAAAAUGUUAUUCCAGCUUGUUAGCGUUUGAUGUCGGGGUGCGGCGCACUGCAGAAGCUGCCGACGUGUGGUUUCUGGUCCGCAAGCUCUUUGCGCUCCCUCAAAUAUACGUCGUCUCACUUUCCCAGCCAGGAUAUAUCACUGCCAUUCAAGCAACGACUGUCACGCUAAGAUAACGGCAGCAGGCUGCGAGAGGCCUGCUCUGGAGACACAACUUCCUUUACACUGCGGCCUCAAGAACUGGAAUCUGCUUCCUUAACCUCGUUACGUUCUGUUAAACUCACGGCUUCCACACAUGCCGCAUCGCAGCUUGAUACCAACGCGGGCCUCUCCGACUCGCAAUCUGGCCCGCAGAAACACGGAGUCCUGAGAAUGGCCAGACCGUGUGUGACAUGCCACAUGAGCAUGCACGUGAACUAGCGUUAGCGCCGUGAGCGUCUAAGGUUAAUAUAUAAUAAAUGCAGUUAAUUCAGUAGAUGACGGCACCAUAGACAAACGCAACAGAAGAAGUUCCAGAAGACCUAUUAAUAAUGUAGUUCCUGGG
Electrophorus electricus (electric eel) is the source of this 701-nucleotide long non-coding RNA. RefSeq lists it as uncharacterized. The record is from RefSeq and is a predicted model, not a curated record. Lineage: Eukaryota; Metazoa; Chordata; Actinopteri; Gymnotiformes; Gymnotidae.